GUUUUAAUAAUUUAAUUUAAAAUAAUAGUUUUGUAAACUAAAUAUAGAAAAAAUUCUUUAAAACA
Molecule: transfer RNA, 65 nt
Filed under: Anagonalia melichari
Lineage: Eukaryota; Metazoa; Arthropoda; Insecta; Hemiptera; Cicadellidae
Description: tRNA-Thr
Source: RNAcentral